AGCUUAAAAUCUCUGUCAAAUUUUGUAUGGCGAAUUGUAGCCUAUAGAAGCGUAGUCAGCAUGAACACUUGGGGUAAGUUCCUUGGAAAAGGCAGCAUGAAGGGUGAUACUCCCGUUCAUACCUGAGUUGUUUGCGCGUAAGACUCGUUUUCUUUGAGUCGCGUUGUUUGGGAAUGCAGCGCAAAGUAGGUGGUAAAUUCCAUCUAAAGCUAAAUAUUGGUGCGAGACCGAUAGCAUACAAGUACCGUGAGGGAAAGAUGAAAAGAACUUUGAAAAGAGAGUUAAAAAGUACCUGAAACUGCUGAAAGGGAACCAAAUCGUUUCCAGUGUCUAUAAUCUGUGACAUAUUUCAUUGGUGAGCGUGCACGUGUAUGUGCUAUGGCAGUGGCUUUUUUGGCUGCGCUUGGUGUUUACGCUGUGUGUGCUUGCUGAUGCCCUGUGUUGCAGUGGGACGUCAAGGUCAGUUCGUAAACUGCGGGAAAUGGCUACCAAGGAGGUAGGGCUUAUGCUUGCAUUUGUCUGUUAUAUCUUGGUGGACGAGUAGUCGUGGUUGGGACUGAGGUGUCUACAACGUGCUUUUGAGUGAAGUUGUAUCUCUGUGUGCGCCAUAUGCGGAUAGCUUGCUAUGUGUAUUUGGUAGUGUGUGGAUUGAUGCGGCUUUCAACUUAUUGCCGUUCGGGACGUUGACGAAAUGGAGCGAUUUGACCCGUCUUGAAACACGGACCAAGGAGUCUAACAUAUGUGCAAGUGUUAGGGUGUGGAAACCCCAGCGCGAAAUGAAAGUAAAGGGCAGCGCAAGCUGUCUGAGGUAGGAAACGCUGUGAGCUUCGGUUUGCGGUGUGGCACUAUCGACCGAUCAUGAACCUUCGUGGUGAAAGAUUUGAGUUUGAGCACACAUGUUGGUACCCGAAAGAUGGUGAACUAUGCCUGAG
Molecule: ribosomal RNA, 932 nt
Filed under: Graminivora graminicola
Lineage: Eukaryota; Oomycota; Peronosporomycetes; Peronosporales; Peronosporaceae
Description: eukaryotic LSU rRNA
Rfam family: Eukaryotic large subunit ribosomal RNA
Source: RNAcentral